This is a long non-coding RNA of Sinocyclocheilus grahami, 210 nucleotides long. RefSeq lists it as uncharacterized. Lineage: Eukaryota; Metazoa; Chordata; Actinopteri; Cypriniformes; Cyprinidae. The record is from RefSeq and is a predicted model, not a curated record. The transcript is spliced from 3 exons.
ACCAUGAGCUUCCUGAUGUGUAUGAGAACAGCACAUGUAAUGGCUUCCAACUGAAUGUCUCCAUUGCUAAAGCUAAUGAAAAUCCCCGACCAGAUGUUGAAAUGUCUUACAAACUUACUAUCAGAGUGAGGGCUCUUCAGGGAGAGCGAAGAAUGGUGAUUCUGGAUAUAGGCUUGCCCACCGGCUUUGAGCCUGAAAACUCUGACUUAG